Molecule: transfer RNA, 227 nt
Filed under: Marmota monax (woodchuck)
Lineage: Eukaryota; Metazoa; Chordata; Mammalia; Rodentia; Sciuridae
Description: tRNA.Ala
Source: RNAcentral
GGAUUGUAGCUCAGUGGCAGAGCACUUGCCUUGCAGGUAAGAGGCACUGGAUUCUAUCCUCAGGACCACAUGAAAAUAAAUAAAUAAAAUAAAGGUAUUGUGUCCAUCUACAACUAAAAAAAAAAAAAAUUUAAAAAAAGAAGAAAGAAAGAAAAAUGCAGUUAGGGCUGGAGGUAUAGCCACUUGCCUAAUGUGCCUGAAGGUCCUGGGUUCCAUCCCCAACACCA